Neofelis nebulosa (Clouded leopard) is the source of this 2421-nucleotide long non-coding RNA. RefSeq lists it as uncharacterized. The transcript has 3 exons. The record is from RefSeq and is a predicted model, not a curated record. Lineage: Eukaryota; Metazoa; Chordata; Mammalia; Carnivora; Felidae.
GACCCCGCCAGUGUACGUGCUGACCUGUCUCCACGCACAGGGAGUGUUCCAGACUGUGCUCACCUGGGUCUCCAUCAGCUCUUCCCCGCUGCAGCCAGGCUCUGGGCACCUGGGAGAUCACCUGAGGGCUGGGAGGGCACCGUGCCUGUGGCUACAUUUGUGGCGGCGUGUGGGACAGCACAGUUACAGAGAGUAGGUGGAGGCCCUGGAGAGUUUGAGCAGGAGGACACUGCAUGACAUAUGCUGGGAAGGGUGCCCCAGGCUGCCACGCGGGGAGCUGCAGGGGUGUGCACAGAAGGGGGAGCUCACGGACCUCGUGCAGGAAGGAUCCAAAACAAGGCAUCAAGGCAUGAGAGAACUCCAAGGUGGAAUCGCCCUCUGCAGUUCUGUCCAGGACCAAGUAGCUUUCGGGGCCAGGCUGGCCGUUGGUGCUGUCCAGGGUGCUGAACGCCACCGGGACGCCAGGGUGGGGACAGUACCCCCAGCCCACAGGUGGACACGUGUGGGGAUCCAAUAGCAGAACUGACUACUGUUUUAGUGUUUCCUUCAUGCCCUAAAUCCAACCGGUAAGAGCUUGAAAAUACAGGAUGGAGAGAUUUUCUGACUAAAAUGAUGCUUCUGAGCUGAAGCCUGGGGAGAUAGUGCUUUAUCCUGAAUGUCCUCAGAGACAGUGCAGAUUCUGAGACACAGCACAUCACCAGAUUCACUCAGAAGUCUGCAGGCUGAAGAUCCGUGGCGGUGGGAACAAUGCUGAUGUGGUUAUCAACCCGCUCAGCAAAUGUUUAUCCACUCCUCCCGAUCAUAACACUGUGCUGGGCGGACAUUCAGGGGCUCGCAAAGAGACGUAAGGUGGGGUCUGAAUGUGGAGGGUUAGAGACAAUCGUGAGUCAACAUUAAGUAUAGAAUACUAAAGAUGAGGUGACACAUAUUACAAUGCUGUCACCAUCUAGCUGGUAAAUUUAGGAAGUAACCGGUUUUGUCAGGAACUGGAGUCCUGAGAGCUCGCUGCAGAGUCUGGGGUUGAGAAGUGUUAACAGGACACCUUCAUGUUACGCCUAGUUUCCUAUCACGAUCCCACGUCUCCAUGAAGGUUAACCUAAGACUUAUUGUUGUUACUGGAGCUUUGGAAGAGGGUCAUCCAUGAGCAGUAUUAGCCUCAAGGAAAGGAGAAAAAUGUGUUAGUACUUAGUCAUCAUGUCGGAUAGCAACCACGUUUCUCUGCAUGUGUGUGUCUCUCUCUCUCUCUCGGCCACAUGCAUGCAAUCUUCUGCUUCUUUCUAUGUGCAAAUGUUGAUAUUCUGUACCUCACACUGGCUCUCCCCCAUGGACCCCAGGCACUGACUUCUGUAGAGAUUCACACUUCCAACAUAAUGCACGAGCACAUAAUAGGUAAUGUCCUUCCCUCUUGGUUCGAGUCUAGAGGUCUCCAUCUGGUGCAGUGAUGUCAGCAGUCUGGCUCAGGCCAAUUACCACAGUGAGGAGAAGGCUCUGUUGAGAGGGUUGCAAUUAAGUAGUUGGGAGACGCCUCUUCCGUGGUGUCUGACUGUUCCGGGGACACUGGAUGAUAAACAGUGGCUGCACGAGUGAGACAUUACCAAGCACCUGCAUGUGCCCCUGACCCAGCGUUUUUACGAGUGAGAUCCCGUUUCGUUCUUAAAACAUCAUUGCGAAGUGCCUCAAUUUUACAAGUGAUUGAUAUUCAGAGAGAAAAAGUUGAUUUUCCAUGCUGAUUCGCCCGCUAGGUGGUGGGACUGAGAUUCUCAUCCAGCUCUUUCUUUUAGUGCCACCUGCCUCCUAUGCGGCCAGGGACAACAAGCACAGUUAUUAAACCUCUGCUUUUAACGGUCUUCCUAGGACACUUGCAAGUUGUUCUUUUCCAUAAUGGCAUUUCCAAAUUGCACGCACAGGUCUCCUUUGUGAUUUUUCAUCUGCUUUCUUGUGUACAUGGAUGGCUUGCUUGAAACCCUUUUACAUAUUUCCACGGGCUACAGAGGGAUAAACAGUGUCAACCACCUCUAUGAACAGCAUGUUUCUGUCACAAGGCGAACCAAAGUGUGUGACCCCUGACCUUUGGGAGGAAAGAUGAGCAAACACACACACGCACACUCACACACAAACACACAUACGAACACACACCCGUGCACACUCACAUAUACACAUUCAUACACAUAUGCACACACAUACACACAAACACCCAUGCACAGGUACACACACUCACACAAACACACAUGUGCAUGCUCACGCACAUACAAACACACAUGCACACACAGCACAAUACACACACACACACCCAUGCACACUCACACAUACACAUUCAUACACAUAUGCACGCACAUACACAAACCACCUGUGCACACACACACAAAUAUACACGUGCACACACACAAACACACAUGCACACACAAGCACAUAUACACAUAC